Molecule: ribosomal RNA, 253 nt
Filed under: uncultured bacterium
Lineage: Bacteria
Description: partial 16S ribosomal RNA
Rfam family: Bacterial small subunit ribosomal RNA
Source: RNAcentral
UACGAAGGGGGCUAGCGUUGCUCGGAAUCACUGGGCGUAAAGGGUGCGUAGGCGGGUCUUUAAGUCAGGGGUGAAAUCCUGGAGCUCAACUCCAGAACUGCCUUUGAUACUGAGGAUCUUGAAUUCGGGAGAGGUGAGUGGAACUGCGAGUGUAGAGGUGAAAUUCGUAGAUAUUCGCAAGAACACCAGUGGCGAAGGCGGCUCACUGGCCCGAUACUGACGCUGAGGCACGAAAGCGUGGGGAGCAAACAGG